AUCCCAGCUUCCUUCUGUGUUCAUCCAGGUAAGCCCCAAGGGGCCUAUCUAUUGGUCCAAUAUCCUGUCAAUCACAUUUUCCAGUGCAGAUUCAAGUCCACCUACAAAGAGAGUGGCAAGGACAAUGUUCAAAAGAGGCCAUUUUACCAGCUGGGUGUGGUGGCACAUGCCUAAAAUCCCAGUGGCUCAGAGGCUAAGGCAGGAGGAUCUGAGUUCGAAGCCAGCCUGAGCAACUUAGUGAGGCCCUAAGCAACUUAGUGAGACCCUGUCUCAAACAAAAGAAAAAAAAAGCUAGGGUCAGGGGGUUUGCUGGGGAUGUGGCUUAGUGGUAAAGCGUCCCUGAGUUCAAUCCCUGGUGACAAACAAACAAACAAAAUGCUAUAUAUUAGUGCCCAGCAUUUUGCAGUCUUCCUGGUAACAAUGCCAACAGGGCAGGGGCAGGCUGCUUCCAUUUCAACCCCCUAGGAAUGCCCAGACAUGAGGAGACCUAACCCAGUUUGCCCUGAAGGUCAGAAUCCAAAAUUUUGCUCUCUGCCACUCGUUUAAAGCUUUGUACAAUUUGGAGAUGUAGCUUAGUGGUAGAGUAUUUUCGUAGCAUGUACAAAAUCUUAGGCUCAGUCCCCAGAGCCACCAAGGAAUUUAAAAAAAAAAUCUAAUUAAAACAUUGUACAAACCAAUACAUCCCACAGAAUUGGCCUCUCCCACCCACAGCAGCUCCCCUGGUACUUUGUCUCUGUGAGUCUGGGAAUCAAACCUGUGGGUUGAAUCCUAGCUUUGCAUUUAUCAGCUGUGCCAUCACAAGUAAGUUAUUUAUCCUCUCUGAGCCUCACAUGAUUGAUACGAUGAUUAAAUUAGAUGACAUAUAAAAAGCCUGGCCCUUGGUAGGCCCUGAGUGACUCCCACCUAGGAGGUUGCAGGACUUGGUGUCAGAUUCCUGCUGGAGGAGUUCCUUCCUGUCUUUCCAGGCAUGGUAUCUCAGGCCUGUGGCCUGCACUGUCCCUUCCUCACACCCAGGAGCAUCCUAGUGCCUCAGACUCCUCCCUGUGACGCUGUGGGAAUCUUGAAACUUGUCCACAGAGGUGCAGAAAGAACUGAAUGCAAAGCACCCAGAAGCUAGGACACGAGUGACAUUCAAGAAAUGACAGCUAGCCAGACACGGUGGCGCACACCUGUAAUCCCAGCAUUUCGGGAGGCGGAGGCAGGAGGAUCAUGAGUUCAAAGCCAACCUCAGCAAAAGUGAGGCACUAAGUUACUCAGUGAGACCCUGUCUCUAAAUAAAAUACAGAAUAGGGCUGGGGAUGUGGUCAAAUAUCCCUGAGUUCAAUCCCUAGUACCUCUCCCGCUCCAAAAAAUAAAAAAAGAAAAAGAAAAGAAAUGACAGAUAAAUCAGGCUCUGUGGCUCAUGACUGUAGCCAAGACAGGAGAAUCACAGGUUCCAGGCCAGCCUGCACAACUUGGUGAGACCCUGUCUCAAAAUAAAAAAUAAAGUCAGGCAUGGUGGUGCAUGCAGGUAAUCUCAGUGAUGGGAGGCUGAUGCAGGAGGAUUGCCAAAUUAAAGGCCAGCCUCGGUAACUUAGUGAGACCUAGUCUCAAAAUAAAAAAUUAAAACAGAUUGGGGAUCUGGAGGUAUAACCCAGUGGUAGAGCAACCCUGGGUUUUAAUCCAGUACUGAAAAAACCAAAAGUGUGUGUGGAGGGGGGUGGACCAGAUCACACCCAGCUACUACCUUCUCAUCCAGAAUAAUUUCAUGACAAGUGUGAUUUCAGCUGGUAGAGGAACAGAGCUUUAGACCCUAUGAACCUGGGCAGGCUCAGCCUGACCUAGAAUCAGCUCGCUGGUGAAACUCCCUUCUCUAACAGAGCACAGGAGCUAGGGGAAGGGGACAUAUGACCAGAGGGCAGAGGACCUGGUGGCCAGCGAUGGUGAGAGCAGCAGAUUUGCCAUCAGAGAGACCUGCCUUCGAAGCCUCUCUGGGGCUGGGGACAUGAUGCAGUGGUAGAGCACAUGUUUAAGGCCCUGGAAAUGGAAAAAAAAAAUCUGUCUCUGCCACUUCUUGGCUGUUUGACUGGCUAGAUGACACCCUUCUCUGUUUUUCACCUAUAAAACUCUCAGUGGUACCUCUCUCAUAGGGUAGAAUUAAAUCACAUGACAGAGAGAGCACAUGACACAGCUGAGCUGCUUACAGUGGGCAGCCUGUGUUAUUUUACCAGGAGGAGGCCAAGGUGUGUGGGGGGUGCCUCUUCUUCACUGUUGUCUCCUCACAAGUUAAUCUUGUUCACUUUGCAUGGAACAAGCAAUGGUCAAUACAGAAGUAUCCAGACUCCUGCCGUCUUCCACUUACCAGCUGUGUGAACUUGGACGUGUGACUUCACUUCUUUGGUCCUCAGUCUCUGCACCAGUCCAAUGGGGACAGUAGGCUCUCUACCACACACAGUCGUGGUUGAGGACGGGUUCCUGUACAGGCCCCUUAGAUUAGCACAUGGAACACACCUGCAAAAGCUUGUCCCUUCGUGACCUCAGCCUACCAUGGCUGUGUGUGUUCUCAGACACUCUGUAGCCAUCUGUGUCUUAUAGAAAACCUUGAUGCCUCUCUAUUAUUAUUAUUUUUUUUUGAGCAAAAUUGACAAUUCAGGAAGAUGUACCCGAUUUUUAUCACAUGGCUUUGAGAGACCCGGCACGGGGCCAGCUUCACACAGAGUCACAUAUGUGCCUACCAGAGCACACGGGCCCACAGAUGCACACACUUCGAGAAGGCCGUGCUACGCCCGAUGCUUCCCAAAUGGGCCGAAACAAACCCUCUCGCCGUGAAGAGCUGCUCUGAAGCCCACUCAGUGCGCUCCCUGGCAAGGGAGCUGAGGACCUCAGCAGCAUCUUCCUUGACAAAACUCUGCAAGGUGAGUCCUGGC
Molecule: long non-coding RNA, 2906 nt
Filed under: Marmota monax (woodchuck)
Lineage: Eukaryota; Metazoa; Chordata; Mammalia; Rodentia; Sciuridae
Source: RNAcentral